RNAcentral lists this transfer RNA (67 nucleotides) under Eutropis multifasciata (many-lined sun skink). RNAcentral describes it as "tRNA-Ser". The record is from RNAcentral. Lineage: Eukaryota; Metazoa; Chordata; Lepidosauria; Squamata; Scincidae.
GAGGAGUGUCUAAGACACGAAGAACUGCUAAUUCCAAGCCCUGUAGUUAAAAUCCACAGACUCCUCA